This 63-nucleotide transfer RNA is filed under the name Protohermes tonkinensis. RNAcentral's name for it is "tRNA-Phe". The record is from RNAcentral. Lineage: Eukaryota; Metazoa; Arthropoda; Insecta; Megaloptera; Corydalidae.
AUUUAAAUAGCUUAAGAAGAGUAUAACAUUGAAGCUGUUAGGGUGAUAAUUUAUCUUUAAAUA